GACGUAGGGCGCGAGCGUUGUUCGGAAUUAUUGGGCGUAAAGCGCGUGUAGGCGGCUUUGCAAGUCGGGUGUGAAAGCCCUCAGCUCAACUGAGGAAGUGCGCCCGAAACUGCAGAGCUUGAGUACCGGAGAGGAUGGCGGAAUUCCCCAAGUAGAGGUGAAAUUCGUAGAUAUGGGGAGGAACACCGGUGGCGAAGGCGGCCAUCUGGACGGAUACUGACGCUGAGACGCGAAAGCGUGGGGAGCAAACAGG
Molecule: ribosomal RNA, 253 nt
Filed under: uncultured bacterium
Lineage: Bacteria
Description: partial 16S ribosomal RNA
Rfam family: Bacterial small subunit ribosomal RNA
Source: RNAcentral